GAUCAACUUCCCUGAUUCAUUAUCUAAAAUUUAAUUAUGUUGACAAUAUUUCUGGAGUGAACAAAAUAGUCUUCCAGAAGAUUUGCUAAAUUUAUGCUUAAAUCCCAUGUGUGUUCUACCGUGAAAAUGGAGGUUACAAGGAAGAGAGAGCUAUUGUGCACUCCUUGCAGCCUCAAAAGGAACUGUACACUGCAGCUUCCGGGCCCUCUUCAGACAGAGUUUUCUUGGGCACAAGAAAAGUUUGCUGGGGAGUGCUGAGCCUAAGCUCCCAACCCUCACCGAGGAGAACAUAAUAGGGAAGCAAGGUAGUAUCCACAGUGGGCUCUAUGUCCUCCCUUCAACAAGCCCCAUAUC
RNAcentral lists this long non-coding RNA (354 nucleotides) under Cricetulus griseus (Chinese hamster). RNAcentral's name for it is "lncRNA (ENSCGRG00000026037.1)". Lineage: Eukaryota; Metazoa; Chordata; Mammalia; Rodentia; Cricetidae. The record is from RNAcentral.